Molecule: transfer RNA, 64 nt
Filed under: Tenuibranchiurus glypticus
Lineage: Eukaryota; Metazoa; Arthropoda; Malacostraca; Decapoda; Parastacidae
Description: tRNA-Leu
Source: RNAcentral
UCUAAAAUGGCAGAUAAAUGUAUAGGAUUUAAGCUCCUACAAGGAAGACUCUCUUCUUUUAGAA